CUGUUGUCCGAUCUUCUUCUCUGUUCCGGCUCGGCACCAUUGUGGCAUUUGGAUUUCACCAGAGGAAGCUUCAGACCUGUUUGGGCUUUAGCCAUUCUUAUUGAGGAUGAUCCACAGCUUCGGACAUAACUUCCAGCAGCAAGAUCUGUGUUUGUGAGUUGGCAGGAAGAUACUUAGAGUGAGUGAAGAAUUUCAGCAGCCAACAACCCUUGACGGCAGUAAUUCCAGCCAGCAACUCUUUGAUUCCAGUACAAACCAGUGGCUGUGAAUUUAGGACUUUGAUUCGAGACG
This is a long non-coding RNA of Zingiber officinale, 291 nucleotides long. RefSeq lists it as uncharacterized. The record is from RefSeq and is a predicted model, not a curated record. NCBI's taxonomy places the organism in Eukaryota, Viridiplantae, Streptophyta, Magnoliopsida, Zingiberales, Zingiberaceae. The transcript has 3 exons.